RNAcentral lists this transfer RNA (87 nucleotides) under bioreactor metagenome. RNAcentral describes it as "tRNA-Ser". It matches the Rfam family "tRNA". Rfam says of the family: Transfer RNA (tRNA) molecules are approximately 80 nucleotides in length. Their secondary structure includes four short double-helical elements and three loops (D, anti-codon, and T loops). The record is from RNAcentral.
GGAGGGCUGGCCGAGUGGUCUAUGGCGGUUGACUUGAAAUCAAUUGUGCUUUCAGCACCAGGGGUUCGAAUCCUCUGCCCUCCGCCA